Molecule: ribosomal RNA, 301 nt
Filed under: uncultured bacterium
Lineage: Bacteria
Description: partial 16S ribosomal RNA
Rfam family: Bacterial small subunit ribosomal RNA
Source: RNAcentral
CAGCCGCCGCGGUAAUACGUAGGUGGCAAGCGUUAAUCGGAAUUACUGGGCGUAAAGCGUGCGCAGGCGGUUCGCUAAGACAGAUGUGAAAUCCCCGGGCUUAACCUGGGAACUGCAUUUGUGACUGGCGGGCUAGAGUAUGGCAGAGGGGGGUAGAAUUCCACGUGUAGCAGUGAAAUGCGUAGAGAUGUGGAGGAAUACCGAUGGCGAAGGCAGCCCCCUGGGCCAAUACUGACGCUCAUGCACGAAAGCGUGGGGAGCAAACAGGAUUAGAUACCCCCGUAGUCCCUGUCUCUUAUAC